Molecule: small nucleolar RNA, 83 nt
Organism: Medicago truncatula (barrel medic)
Lineage: Eukaryota; Viridiplantae; Streptophyta; Magnoliopsida; Fabales; Fabaceae
Rfam family: Small nucleolar RNA R16
About the family: snoR16 is a member of the C/D class of snoRNA which contain the C (UGAUGA) and D (CUGA) box motifs. Most of the members of the box C/D family function in directing site-specific 2'-O-methylation of substrate RNAs.
Source: Rfam
GUUGGUAAAUGAUGUUAAAAAUUUGUCAUUCUAUAGACUGAUGUUUUGAUGAACAAAAACUCCGCUUAUUAUCUGAUGCCUUC